GCCAGGCAUGGUGGUGUGUGCCUGUAAUCCCAGCUACUCAGGAGGCUGAGGCAGGAGAAUCACUUGAACCCAGGAAGCAGAGGUUGCAGUGAGCCGAGAUCGCGCCAUUGCACUCCAGCCUGGGUGACAGAGUGAGAUUCUGUCUCAA
RNAcentral lists this non-coding RNA (148 nucleotides) under Pan paniscus (pygmy chimpanzee). The record is from Rfam by way of RNAcentral. RNAcentral also lists the same sequence under 1 other name. Lineage: Eukaryota; Metazoa; Chordata; Mammalia; Primates; Hominidae.